CAUUAGAAGUCAGGCAUAGAAUUUCUGCUCCCAGCUGAUUCAGUCGCCAUUUUUGUUGCGAACGUAAACACUAGUGGGCCGUACUGACUUCUCAGGUUUACUUGGACGACUGCGACGAUUGUUCCCCUCACCUGCGGUCGCGCUCUCUGUUUUUCCACUGAAGAUGAAGGCGGAUCCCGUGACUUGAGCCGCCGUCAGUGUGAUGGGGUACCGCGUGGAUUUCCUCACCUGGAGGGAGCGUGGGUUUAAAUAGGGGCGGUGAGGCAGCCGGUUUGAAAUGGACCAAGACUACGAGAGACGUCUUCUAAGGCAAAUCCACCUCCAGAACCUGCCCGCUGAAGCGCGGCUGACCAGGUGUGAAAGUGUUACCUGCAGUCCAGUCUGUGUGAAGUCCGGGGACCGCUUCAUCCCAGCCCGUGCUGGAAGCAACUGGAGCAUCAACUUCCACUAUGCCAACGAGAACUGUCACUCUCCCAGCCAGAAUCAUAAAGCAAAGGAUGCCACUUCAGAUUCUGGCAAAGAUACAGUGGCGUAUGCUGCCCUAUUGAGGAAUGAAUUACUGGGUGCAGGCUUAGAGUCAGUGUCGGACCUUCACGCAGACGACAGGCGGCGUGCCGUCUGCGCUCAUGACACUCACGGCCUAUUUAGGUACACUGUCCACACUAAGAGAGUGCCUUUCGACAACGAUAACGAAGUCUCACCCUACUCGCUUUCUCCGCUUACUAACAAGAGUCACAAGCUGCUACGCUCGCCUCGUAAACCGGCGCGGAAGAUCUCCAAGAUCCCCUUCAAGGUGUUGGACGCCCCGGAGCUACAGGAUGACUUCUACCUCAACCUGGUUGACUGGUCAGCGGGAAACCUGCUGAGUGUCGGCCUGGGAGCCUGCGUCUACCUGUGGAGCGCCUGCACCAGCCAGGUGACAAGGUUGUGCGACCUUUCAGUGGACGGUGAUUCUGUGACGUCAGUAUGCUGGAAUGAGAGGGGAAGUCUGGUCGCUGUAGGAACUCACAAAGGUUACGUUCAGAUCUGGGAUGCGGCAGGCGGGCGAAAGCUUACCAGUUUAGACGGUCACUCAGCUCGUGUGGGUGCCCUGGCGUGGAAUGGGGAGCAGCUAUCUUCGGGAAGUCGGGACAGAGUAAUCCUCCAACGGGACGUAAGAACCCCCCCGUCUGCCGAGAGAAGGCUGCAGGGUCACAGGCAGGAAGUGUGUGGUCUCAAAUGGUCCCCCGACCACCAGCAUCUUGCCUCUGGGGGCAAUGACAACAAGUUACUGGUGUGGAACAGCUCGAGCCUACUCCCAGUGCAGCAGUAUAGCGACCACCUGGCUGCAGUGAAGGCGAUUGCGUGGUCGCCUCACCAGCAUGGGCUGCUGGCGUCAGGCGGCGGCACCGCUGACCGCUGCCUGCGCUUCUGGAACACACUGACGGGUCAGGCGCUACAGAGCACAGACACCGGCUCGCAGGUCUGCAACCUGGCGUGGUCCAAACACGCCAAUGAACUGGUGAGCACUCAUGGUUACUCUCAGAACCAGAUCUUGGUGUGGAAGUACCCGUCGCUGACACAGGUGGCCAAGUUGACGGGGCACUCGUACAGAGUGCUCUACCUGGCCGUGUCACCUGACGGCGAGGCCAUCGUCACCGGCGCGGGGGAUGAGACCCUUCGCUUUUGGAACGUCUUCAGCAAAACGCGUUGCACCAAGGAGUCAAAGUCUGUGCUGAACCUUUUCACAAGAAUCCGAUGAGCUGCAGUGACACACUACUCCAACACGACACUUUUUUUUGUUUUGUUUUUUUAAACCAACAAUAUGCACUACAAGCUUUCCUUCCCCCUCAUCAGUGAUGUCACCCUCGUGGACAAAAACAGAGUGGUGAACAGGCUGGACAACAUUCCCAGGAUGUGAAUGAUGGACUGUUUAUUGGCGGGAUCAGGCUGCACAGAUAGAAAGAAGUGUGUCCAGCUGCUGGAUGUGAGGGGUGAUGAGUGAGUGCAGCUUUCCCAAAACCUCUUCUACCGGCACAGCUGACAGCAGGAAGCCCAGAGCCUGCAUGAGCCACAUGCACUGGCUGCUCUGCACAUAUACACACGUCCUAUGGAGAAAGAUGACUCUGAUUGGAAAUGCAUCAGUUGAUCCAUGAUUUGAGCAAACACGUGAAGCCAACCUGGGACACGGUGAGGAUGUCUUGAGCGUAAGGGCCGAGGUCGUGAUGACACUCCCUGCAGAUCCUCUUCAGAGUAGAAACGCUGGACACGGAGAGCUCGGGCCUCUCGAGACCCUGGAGCACCAUGGGUAGCAUACCACCAAGCAUCACCGGGUGGUCCACCAGCCACUCAGCCAGGGACCCUUAGCAACACAGACAUGCAGUUAAAAAUGCCUGUAUAGUAUAGUGGAGUGCACAGCAUAACAUCGAUAAUACUUCAGCCACCUAUUGUGUACAUGACUGUGUCAGCCAGCAUGACGUUACUGAUGUUGAUUCUGGGGAUCAGGCCAAUCAGACCAGGAAUGACAUCAGAGUAGUUCACAUCGAUGGUCUCUGCUAUGGACUGGAAGCCAAAUAACAACGCCUCUGUGUCCUACAAAGGUGACGGUGGGAUAUUAAACCACAGGAAAAUAACAACGGAAUGUACAUAAUAUGACACACACGACAGUCUUCCUUCGUUUAUCGCUGGGGAUAGGUUCCCAAAAUAGCCUGCAAUAAGUGAAAUCCGCAAAGUAGCCAACUUCAUUUUUGAUUAUACUGCACUGUACGUGUUUUAAGGCUGUAAAACCCCUCACCAUACACUUUAUACACUUUUCUCAUACAGGCAAUAAUACAUACUCUCAAAAGAGUUCAAACCUUCGUUUGAAUUUUAAUGAUCAACCUGCAGGUCGGACACAAGAAAUUAUAAAGUCACUCACGCGUAUUUCACUCAUGUGGCCGUGCCUUUUCGUCCUGGCGCCGUUCCGCUGUACUGUGGCGUUUUUGGAUCUUUGUUAAAACAUAUUGCUGCAGACGAACCGAAGAUUCAUUUACAAGCUACAAGCUCGCGAUGACGCAGGCGACAUGGCAGGACGGCACGAAAGAGAUUGAUUGACAAUGGUCUACAGCCAAUCAGGACACAGAAAACAAUGGGCGGUGCAGACAGACCACAGAGGGAAGAGAGAGACACUCAACCUUCCAGAAUGCAAUUUUUCUUAAAGGGCCAGGCUCGGCCUGUAACACCGUGCAUUAUGCUGUAAUAAAAAAAAAAGAAGCAAGAAAAAAACUCUGCAAAAGGUGAACCAGAUAGAGCGAGGGAACACUGUAUCUGGUACACGACAGGAAGUGAACACGGAAGGCACUUUUUCCAUCCUAAAAAUGAAAGGCUACAAGGGCUACUUUGAUAUUUGGUAAAAUAUGCUAAGAAGUUAUUUCAAGCAAAAACUUCAUGAUAUACAGUACGUGAAAAAGCCGAUUAUUAGUAUGAACUUUGCUCUAUGCUCUAUUUUUUUCCCCAUUUCUGCUGUUUGUUUGUUUGUUUUUAAAAUUUUCCAGCUAUUCACACUUUCUUAGCAAAUAAUGCUCAUACAUUUUCUUCUCGUAAGGUUUAGGGGGCAAUCCCUUUUUCACACUGGGCCAUGUCGGUUUGGUUAAGUGUCAUUUAGAAACUGCAUUUUGUGUUCCGUUGUGUUGUCAUUUUGUUUGAUGAUCUGAAACAUUCAAGUGUGACAAACAGGCCAAAAAGUAAGAAAUCAGUUUGGGGGCAAACGCUGUCCCUACAUUAGCUUGGCUGUACUGUAAAUCCCCCCGCUACAAGGGGUGUAUGAAAAGUUUGAAGCAUCGUGUAUAAGAAGCGUUGAUGCAUGGUCACACCUAUGAUUUUUUGAAAGUUCAGCCUUAUUUUUGAAUAAGCGAGGGUCAAGUAUUCAGUGAAAAAUGGAGAAAACAGAAAUUCAUGCAGUGGCGCAGUGUACUCAGUGGCUGCCAUGGCAACAAUUCACGAUUGUGGAUUCGAACUUGUUCCCCAUCCACCCUAUUCGCCAGACCUGGCCCCCUGCGAUUCCCGUCGUUUCCCCCAAGUGAAAAAAGCCUUGGCUGGUCGCUAUUUUGCCAGUGAUGAUGAUGUCAUUGCUGCAGUUGAGGGGUUUCUUGAGUCCCAAACAAAAGAGUUCUUCUACACCGGGAUAAAAGCGCUUCAGCGCCGUUGGAGCAAGUGUUCAGCCCUUGAGGGGGACUAUGUUGAAAAAGAAAUGAUCAAAAAUCUCUUAUCUGUUUGAGUUUUUCUGAUGCUUAAAAUUGUUCAUACACCGCUCGUACCUCAAUAUACUUCAGGGUUUUAAAUAAAUAAAUAAAUGACUUAAAUUCAUUAUGAAUUUAUUAUUUUUACUGAAAUUAAUCAUUUAUUUAAUGAAUACAUUAAUUAAAUGCCUAGUAUUUUUUUAUGCUAUGAUGUGAAAUAUACUACUUCUAUAUACUACUAUCGGAUCAGCAUCCCCGAUAUCAGCCUGAAUUUUACUCAGCAUCGGAUCGGAAACGAAAUCAGUGGUGUUGCACAUCACUAGUUAUUUUUCCUCGUGAUAUUACGGCAUUAUUCUUGUGACAGGUUUUGUUUCUGUUGGUUCGUUAUCCUUCAUGCUUCCAAAUAAGUGUAAUAAAUAAAUAAUACAGGUAAAAUGUACAGCAUACAUGUAGCAUUGUUAGUGAGAGACUGUUGCUUCACUGAUAAUGUUUUUACGUGAAGCGUUGAGACUUUGCACUUUGUUCGGCUGUCUUUGAACUCACCAUAGUUCUGAGACGCAAAAUUCUGUUUGGCUACGGAAGCACAAGUUUCCUGUGGAUUAUUUAGACACGGUUAGGAGAAAGGUCUUCUCUGGCAUGCGAGCCUCUAGCGCUGGCCUCAUGACCAGGCUAAAGGCUACACCGUGACUCCGAUUCCAUCUGUUCACCGCUCAUCUUACAUUAUCAUUCAUUAGCGGCGAGUACCUACAGUAUACUGUACAUACUUAGGGCUUAAACCUGGAUGGUGUCACGAGUGAGGGCCUGACUCAAUUUCUGUUCUAGUUCAUCCCAAACUCAUCCAACCAUGGACUUCUCCCAACUGUUGAAGGUGUUCGCCAACCUGCCAUCCUGUUGACUGCUGGGGGUCCAUCAGCUGUCUCCCCAGGCGGUCAUAAAGGUUACUGAGCAGCUCAGCUCCCAACAUUUCAUAGACAUACAUCAACGUGUCAGAGAUGUCCACCCUGGAAGACUCUGAACUGUUCCUUGUCAUCAGAACUCCAGGAUGCAUAUUCUUCCAGGGAAGGAUAGUGUGAUUUAUGUAGCAGCACAUCCACCAGCUGGAAGUAAACUGGCCUGUAGACGUGCAGGUAAACGACCUGCUUCUCCUCCUCGAACGACAAGAUGUCAUCCUAAACAGAAAUGCAACAGUCAACAACUCCUGUUGCAGAUUUCAAGUAGCAAACAGUCCUCACCUGCAGAGUGUACCAGAAGAUAGUGGGUAUGUGAUCUCCGUUCGGCCCCACCCCUGCGCCUCUUCUGCCCGACUCCCUCAGGAUAUUUUUAGCCCUGAUGAUGUGUCCUCGUGUAUCACGUAACGGAAACAAGCUCCCACCAACAGAACACAACCUGGUCCACUUUGUUGUAGUCAUCUGAAGAGGGGAUGAGAUGGAAUCUCUUAUGCAUUUGGAGUUUUGCUUCUUGGUGCUUCUUGCUGGUUCAUCCCAGGCAAGAGGUCAAAGUGUGGCUUUGCCUCCAGUUGCCCCCCUGCCGGCCUCACAGCAUCCCGCUGGCGCCUCAGGGGUUCCUGACCUGAUGAAAGGUCAUGUGGAUGACGGCCAACAUCUAAUACACCGUCCAGCAGAUGAUACCACAACCGCGCCACACACUGAAAAGACACUUUUUCAUCAGACGAUUGUCGCAACGAUGGCGAGGCCUACAGAAGUGACAUCUCAGCUUUUCACAACAGCACAGCCUGGAACCCAAGCAGCUGCUCCACACAACAGUUCCCCCACCACCACAACAGAGGGCAGGGCGGCAAUGACCAAGCAUGCCUUGAGCACCUUUUCAUCCCAGGAUGCAAACACCUCCACUCAGCCUCAACCAAUGACACCAUGGAGAGUAACAACCACAGCAGGACGCCCUCUGACCUCUCGCGCAGGCCGAGACCCCGCUGGGCCGCAACACCUGGAGGUCCCCUCUGAACUUAACGUAGGCGAUGAAGAACUGCGAAGGCUUUACUUGAGCUCACGCGCUCCUCUAAACCCCCUCCUUGCUGGUCUGCUCUGCGUCUUCAUUGUCACCACUGCGGUCAUCUUCAUCAUCCUCUUUAUGCGUUUUCGCCAACGGACCAACCACCCGGAGUUCCAUCGGCUCCAGGAUCUUCCCAUGGACGAUUUGAUGGAAGACACGCCCCUCUCCAGAUACACUUACUGAUGGGCGCCCGCUCUUUUCUUAGCGAGCAAAACCAAAUUCCAAAGGAGGAACGGCAUGAAUCCGUGCAGACUGAGAGUCAGUGAUACAAGUGUGUGUCAUUGGUUCCAAGAACGGGAUACAAACUUUACUGCAGGAACGUUAGUGUUUCUUUUUUUCCACAUUCCAUGUACAGUUCGAUAUUACAUCAUCUUCACCUCUGAUUGACUACUUAGGUACACACAGCACUUUAAUGUGACAUGAAACGUCACCAUAGCCUUUCAGUGACUCAGGUUUCCAUAGUGACAGACCAAGACGGCAUAAGAAACCCUUCAUUUAUCAUCUCCGUAGCAGACCAAAUAUGAAGAAGCGCAACGUUGCCAUGAUGUCUUCAAGAAAAUGAGAGUCCCUUCAGUUGGGGAGCCUUACUUCCUCCAAAAAAUAACCAAAGUGUAUCAGCACGGCUUUCAGUUACUCAUCUCUUGACUAACCCAAACAUGUGGAGUGGAUAUUUGACUGUGGGUGUCAAAUCAACUGGAAAAUGUACGGGACUGAAAUUACAAAUAACGCAUGCUCCACCAAAUAAGUACAUUGAAGUCACCAAUAUAGUUCAAUGUGUUGUAAAAUGUAAAUAUCAUUUGUGACGUCAUCGCAAGCAGCAAAGAGAAAUGUCUAAAUUACAUAAAAACCUGUAAUUCAUCGGUAUUAUAUCGAGUUUUAUGCAAAUGUGCUAGAGCCAAGCUGUUUUUACCUUGUGCUGUUGCAAACAGUGAUUACUAUUAGGCGGUUUAAUUGUGCACUGUAAGAUAUCAUCCUGUUUGAUAAUAAAAUAGAAUCUUAAACCAGUGGUUUCUAUUUUCUUCUUUGUUUUUGCACAUUUUUGCUAUGGCGGCCGGGAAGAGCAAAACACUGUAUUUUUACAAAGGUGGGAGAAAGUCAACGUUUUUGGAAUUGUCUCAAGCAAAAACAUGCAGGUCCAAGUCGAGUCAAGUCCCAAGUCACAGGCUUGGAAUUUUCGAAUUGAAUGUGGCAGAUUCUGUGUGAAAAUGUGUUGCCUUGCUGGAAAUGACUCACUAAAAAUAUCAAGUAUUUUCAAGCCGUCGGACUAAAACGUCUGAGUCAAGUCCCAAGUCAUUGAUGUUAAAGUCCAAGUGGAGUUGCAAGUCUUUGAUAAUAUUGUUAAGUCAAGUCCAAAGUCAUCAAAAAUGUGACUCGAAUCUGACU
Dunckerocampus dactyliophorus (ringed pipefish) is the source of this 7589-nucleotide RNA transcript. It is a transcript of the gene named fizzy/cell division cycle 20 related 1b, with no coding region annotated. The transcript has 23 exons. NCBI's taxonomy places the organism in Eukaryota, Metazoa, Chordata, Actinopteri, Syngnathiformes, Syngnathidae. The record is from RefSeq and is a predicted model, not a curated record.